RNAcentral lists this transfer RNA (74 nucleotides) under Marinilabiliales bacterium. Its description in RNAcentral is "tRNA-Cys". It matches the Rfam family "tRNA". Rfam says of the family: Transfer RNA (tRNA) molecules are approximately 80 nucleotides in length. Their secondary structure includes four short double-helical elements and three loops (D, anti-codon, and T loops). Further hydrogen bonds mediate the characteristic L-shaped molecular structure. tRNAs have two regions of fundamental functional importance: the anti-codon, which is responsible for specific mRNA codon recognition, and the 3' end, to which the tRNAs corresponding amino acid is attached (by aminoacyl-tRNA synthetases). tRNAs cope with the degeneracy of the genetic code in two manners: having more than one tRNA (with a specific anti-codon) for a particular amino acid; and 'wobble' base-pairing, i.e. permitting non-standard base-pairing at the 3rd anti-codon position. Lineage: Bacteria; Pseudomonadati; Bacteroidota; Bacteroidia; Marinilabiliales. The record is from RNAcentral.
GGUGUCGUGGCCGAGUGGCUAGGCAGUGGUCUGCAAAACCACGUACAGCGGUUCGAAUCCGCUCGACACCUCAA